Molecule: ribosomal RNA, 552 nt
Filed under: Helograpsus haswellianus
Lineage: Eukaryota; Metazoa; Arthropoda; Malacostraca; Decapoda; Varunidae
Description: partial 16S ribosomal RNA
Rfam family: Bacterial large subunit ribosomal RNA
Source: RNAcentral
GUCUAUUUGAAGUUAUAAAAAGUUUAACCUGCCCACUGAUAAAUAAUAAAAAUUGAAUGGCCGCGGUAUUUUGACCGUGCAAAGGUAGCAUAAUCGUUAGUUUUUUAAUUGGAAUCUUGUAUGAAUGGUUGGACAAAAGAAAGUCUGUCUUUUUAUUAUUUGUUGAAUUUAACUUUUAAGUGAAAAGGCUUAAAUGAAUUAAAGGGACGAUAAGACCCUAGAAAGCUUAAUAUUAAAAUUUUGUUUAGUUAAAUUUUAUUACUAUAAAAACUUAGCAAUUAAAUUUAUUUUAUUGGGGCGAUAAAAGUAAAAUGAUUACUAACUGCUUAAUUUUAAAUACAUUAAUGAAUGAUUAAAUUUUUAAAUGAUCCUAAUUAAAGAUUAAAAGUUUAAGUUACUUUAGGGAUAACAGCGUUAUUUUUUUUGAGAGUACUUAUCGAAAAAAAAGUUUGCGACCUCGAUGUUGAAUUAAAAUAUCUUUGUAAUUGCAGCAGUUACAAAAGUAGGUCUGUUCGACCUUUAAAAUUUUACGUGAUUUGAGUUCAAACCGGC